RNAcentral lists this ribosomal RNA (211 nucleotides) under uncultured bacterium. RNAcentral describes it as "partial 16S ribosomal RNA". It matches the Rfam family "Bacterial small subunit ribosomal RNA", at positions 1290 to 1500 of the family's 1533-position model. The record is from RNAcentral.
AGUUCGGAUUGUAGUCUGCAACCCGGCUACAUGAAGCUGGAAUCGCUAGUAAUCGCGGACCAGAAUGCCGCGGUGAAUACGUUCCCGGGUCUUGUACACACCGCCCGUCACACCAUGGGAGUCGGAAAUGCCCGAAGUCUGUGACCCAACCUCAGGGAGGGAGCAGCCGAAGGCAGGUCGGAUGACUGGGGUGAAGUCGUAACAAGGUACC